Molecule: long non-coding RNA, 953 nt
Organism: Cryptotermes secundus
Lineage: Eukaryota; Metazoa; Arthropoda; Insecta; Blattodea; Kalotermitidae
Exons: 4
Source: RefSeq, a predicted model, not a curated record
UCAGCGGUCUCAGCUCAGGUUACAUAUUUUUCGACUAUAUACAUGAGUUGCCCAUGGCUUUAUCGCUGUAAGAUCAGUUUGGAUCAGUUUUAUGUUGUGCCGUGCAAUAUCUUGGUCAAAGUGGCAUUGUGCAAAGUUUUUAACAAGUAUUCACACUAGUAUAUGGAUUGAAUGUUCAGUGUUUGCUUUGUAAACAUUAUGAGAGUGUGCUCUUAAGUACUUGUAAGGUUAACACAAAUGUCGGUUUCGUGAUGUUUGCUUCUUAAUAAGCCUCCUGUUACAUCGUGCUUAAAUUGAAUGGUAUAACCCUGUUGCUUUGAAGAGAAUAAAAACCAUUCUCAAUCCGACAGUAUAGUGGACCACAAAGCGUGUGAUACUAAAUUGAAAAUGUUUUGUGAAAGUGCGGUUGUGGUUGAGGUUCAUGGGCCCUUGUCUGGGUACUAACCCCCACACAACAAGCGGCCUAUAUCAAGUUACAAAUGUCGGCUGUCAGUGUCGUGGAAACAGUGUAGUGACUUCAGAUUUAUUUACCACAAGUUUUGAAAUACUUCGAAGCAUGAAAACUAAGCAUGGAAAUAGCAAAGAAUUACUGUGGCCAGCGAAGGAUGCGACUACUACGCAACGGCUGCAGUAGUAUCCUGAGGACAGCGCCGUCAUUCGGAGAUGCAGUGGGCCCAGUGAUUGACGCAGCCACUGUCCUACGAACAAGAGCGGUCUUCUGCAGGGCGGAGAGUGGAGCAAUGGAGCAACGCUUAGAAUUCUGAUCCUUGCAUCGUUUACUUCCAAAAACAUCGUUUAAUGGUAUCCUUCUUUCUAUAUUGAUAAUAUUCCAAAAGAAGAAAAGGAAAACCCAGGAUGAGAAAACUAGACGGUGUUGAGGACGACCUGAAGGAGAUGAAGGCGGAAGGAUGCAUAGAGAAGAUGAGGAAUAGAGGGCAGUGGAGACUGGUUAG